AGAACGAACGCUGGCGGCAUGCCUAACACAUGCAAGUCGAACGCGUGGAGCAAUCCACGAGUGGCGCACGGGUGAGUAACGCGUGGGAACCUGUCCUGGAGUGGGGGAUAACCGAGGGAAACCUCGGCUAAUACCGCAUACGUCCUGAGGGAGAAAGAUUUAUCGCUCUAGGAGGGGCCCGCGUCGGAUUAGCUAGUUGGUGGGGUAACGGCCUACCAAGGCGAUGAUCCGUAGCUGGUCUGAGAGGAUGAUCAGCCACACUGGGACUGAGACACGGCCCAGACUCCUACGGGAGGCAGCAGUGGGGAAUAUUGGACAAUGGGCGCAAGCCUGAUCCAGCAAUGCCGCGUGAGUGAUGAAGGCCUUAGGGUUGUAAAGCUCUUUCGGCGGGGACGAUGAUGACGGUACCCGCAGAAGAAGCCCCGGCUAACUUCGUGCCAGCAGCCGC
Molecule: ribosomal RNA, 448 nt
Filed under: uncultured bacterium
Lineage: Bacteria
Description: SSU rRNA
Rfam family: Bacterial small subunit ribosomal RNA
Source: RNAcentral